UACGGGGGGGGCAAGCGUUGUUCGGAAUUACUGGGCGUAAAGGGCUUGUAGGCGGCCAACUAAGUCCGACGUGAAAUCCCCAGGCUUAACCUGGGAACUGCGUCGGAUACUGGAUGGCUUGAAUUCGGGAGAGGGAUGCAGAAUUCCAGGUGUAGCGGUGAAAUGCGUAGAUAUCAGGAAGAACACCUAUGGCGAAGGCAGCACUCUGGGACGGUACUGACGCUGAGACGCGAAAGCGUGGGGAGCGAACAGG
Molecule: ribosomal RNA, 253 nt
Filed under: uncultured bacterium
Lineage: Bacteria
Description: partial 16S ribosomal RNA
Rfam family: Bacterial small subunit ribosomal RNA
Source: RNAcentral